RNAcentral lists this unclassified non-coding RNA (1797 nucleotides) under Hevea brasiliensis (rubber tree). The record is from RNAcentral. Lineage: Eukaryota; Viridiplantae; Streptophyta; Magnoliopsida; Malpighiales; Euphorbiaceae.
AGCUAAGGACAAUAAUACGCAGCAGAACUAUACAAUUUUGAAAAGAUCAAACAUGAUUAAAAUAUAUUGUCAGGCUCACAAUACCAUAGCAAUCAUUAUUAAUGCAUUUACCACUAAAGUCACAUAAUGGAAUUUAUGAAUUAGGGAAUAUAAUGUGAAUGCCACUUCUAAGUUCUAAUCAUCCAAGUUAUCAAUAUUUAAAAACAAAAAUAAAAUAAAAUAAAAGGUAAAAAUAGUCUUUUUCACUUUUCCCCUUCACUUUCCUUUUUUACCCUUGAUUGAAUCCCAUAAUAACUAACAUACCACUUCACAAAUUUCCUUAACCCACUUGACAAAUCAGUUGUUGGCUUAUACCCAAAAUCCCUUAACGCCAGGCUCACGUUGGCAUGUGUAUACGGAACGUCGCCGUUUCGUGGCAUUUUAACAACAUUCUUUUUAGCCUUAAGAUUCAAUAAAUUUUCGAGAAUUGCCACCAACUUCUUCACCGACACUGGCGAAGUAUUCCCCAAAUUGUAAACCCUCAAUUGAGCCGGACCUCUCUUCUUUCCGCCGCUCCCGGUGCUCUUCUCCGCCGUAUCCAACGCGCCGACGCAUCCUUUUACUAUAUCAUCAAUGUACGUGAAGUCACGCGCCACCUCUUUAUCAUCCUGAGUGACGUACACGUUAAUCGAUUUCCCCUGAAUCAUAUCCUUUGUGAAGAAGAAAUACGCCAUGUCUGGUCUUCCCCAAGGUCCGUAAACAGUGAAAAACCUCAAACCUGUUAAUGAAAGCCCGUAGAUAUGGUUAUAUGUAUGUGCAAUUGCUUCCCCUGCUUUCUUCGUUGCAGCGUAUAAACUAGCUGGUUGAUCUGUUCUGUGAUCUUCGGAGAAAGGAACUUUGGUGUUCAAUCCGUAAACAGAGCUCGAUGAAGCCCAGACUAUCGCCGGUUGUGGAUCUGCAGCUUUAGCAAUUUCUAACAGAUUUACAAACCCAGCUACGUUUGAGUUUACAUAAGAGAGAGGAUUCUGCAUCGCGUAACGAACACCUGCUUGUGCAGCUAGAUGAAGGAUAUGAGUAAAAGGAACAAUGUCGAAAAGCUUUUUCAGAAGCUCUGUAUCGUUAAUAUCACCUUCUACAAUGAAAAUCUGAUGCUUCAAUAACUGAUCUUGACGAGCACGUUUCAACGAAGGAUCGUAGUAUGAAUUGAAAUUAUCUAAACCUAAAACACCAUCACCACGCUUCUUCAAUGCUAAGGAGCAAUGAGAACCAACGAAGCCAGCUGCUCCCGUCACGAGGACGGAUAGCCCGUUAGGGCGGUGGGGUGUCGAGGAGUGACGAACUUGUUUCUCCCACGACGCCCCACCGCCGUAAAUCGCGGAGGAUAGAAGGUUAUGGGUAGUGGUGUGAAUAUUAUUGUUGAAUGAUUUUUCGGAAGUUAACGGAGGGUAAUUUAUAGUGAAGAAGAAAAUAAGUAAAAGAGCCACUAAUAAAGUGACACGAAAUAAAAGCUUAGACGAUGCAGCGAUGAGUUUUGUACUAUUAACUCUUCGAAUAUAGCUAUUGUAGCGCUCUAGUUUUGUGGUUUUGCUUGUGUCAGGUGGCGAUGCCAUUAUAGUUUUCAUAACUUUAUAUAUGUAUAUGAUAUAUCAAUUUGAUUUAUUUAUCGCUUUGAUAUUGCAGAGAGUAUACGAAAGAAAGGCUAAUGGUGUUAUUGGAAAAUGGGGAGUGCUUUGGAUUGAGCAAGCCCCUGAGGAAAGAAGAGAUGAUGUUUAUAAAGGAAGAAGGAUUGGUGUGUUUGUGUGAAAAAAGGAAAAAAAA